This 48-nucleotide non-coding RNA is filed under the name Trichobilharzia regenti. The record is from RNAcentral. Lineage: Eukaryota; Metazoa; Platyhelminthes; Trematoda; Strigeidida; Schistosomatidae.
AUCCAGUUGACGAGUCCCAAAUAGGACGAUAUGUGCGUUAUCCUGGAU